CUGCUGCGGGCAGAUCCAGUGAAUAUGCGUAUCGACGCCGCCGGCGGUGACGAUCUUGCCUUCUGCGGCAAUAAUUUCCGUGGCCGCGCCGAUCGGGAUCGUGACGUUGGGUUGAAUAUCCGGGUUGCCGGCUUUGCCGAUGGCGAAGAUCCUUCCAUCUUUGACGCCGAUAUCGGCUUUAACGAUCCCCCAGUAAUCGACGAUCAGGGCAUUGGUCAGCACCAGAUCCGCGCACCCGGCGGAAAGCAUCUGCCCCUGUCCCAUACCGUCGCG
This 273-nucleotide small RNA is filed under the name Klebsiella oxytoca. Its description in RNAcentral is "5' ureB small RNA". It matches the Rfam family "5' ureB small RNA". Lineage: Bacteria; Pseudomonadati; Pseudomonadota; Gammaproteobacteria; Enterobacterales; Enterobacteriaceae. The record is from RNAcentral.